GGCUGCUCCAAAGGUAGUGAGUCUCAAUUGACUGUUCACAGUCAGUUGCAGAUCGAACUUUUUGUUCAGUUCUUUCUCCUCUUAUCACUACUGCACUUGGCUAGUCUAAA
This 110-nucleotide Y RNA is filed under the name Saimiri boliviensis boliviensis (Bolivian squirrel monkey). RNAcentral describes it as "Y RNA (ENSSBOG00000005093.1)". It matches the Rfam family "Y RNA". From Rfam's summary of the family: Y RNAs are components of the Ro ribonucleoprotein particle (Ro RNP), in association with Ro60 and La proteins. Lineage: Eukaryota; Metazoa; Chordata; Mammalia; Primates; Cebidae. The record is from Rfam by way of RNAcentral.